GUGUGACUGCGUACCUUUUGUAUAAUGGGUCAGCGACUUAUAUUCUGUAGCAAGGUUAACCGUAUAGGGGAGCCGCAGGGAAACCGAGUCUUAAUUGGGCGUUAAGUUGCAGGGUAUAGACCCGAAACCCGGUGAUCUAGCCAUGGGCAGGUUGAAGGUUGGGUAACACUAACUGGAGGACCGAACCGACUAAUGUUGAAAAAUUAGCGGAUGACCUGUGGCUGGGGGUGAAAGGCCAAUCAAACCGGGAGAUAGCUGGUUCUCCCCGAAAGCUAUUUAGGUAGCGCCUCGUGAAUUCAUCUCCGGGGGUAGAGCACUGUUUCGGCUAGGGGGCCAUCCCGGCUUACCAACCCGAUGCAAACUGCGAAUACCGGAGAAUGUUAUCACGGGAGACACACGGCGGGUGCUAACGUCCGUCGUGAAGAGGGAAACAACCCAGACCGCCAGCUAAGGUCCCAAAGUCAUGGUUAAGUGGGAAACGAUGUGGGAAGGCCCAGACAGCCAGGAUGUUGGCUUAGAAGCAGCCAUCAUUUAAAGAAAGCGUAAUAGCUCACUGGUCGAGUCGGCCUGCGCGGAAGAUGUAACGGGGCUAAACCAUGCACCGAAGCUGCGGCAGCGAACGUAUCACUUAAAGCGAUUCAGCGGGUUACGAUUGACGGAGCGAAGCGACGUCAAAGCGUAUACAAAGUCGAGUCGGUUUAAGGAUACGUUCGUUGGGUAGGGGAGCGUUCUGUAAGCCUGUGAAGGUGUGUCGUGAGGCAUGCUGGAGGUAUCAGAAGUGCGAAUGCUGACAUAAGUAACGAUAAAGCGGGUGAAAAGCCCGCUCGCCGGAAGACCAAGGGUUCCUGUCCAACGUUAAUCGGGGCAGGGUGAGUCGACCCCUAAGGCGAGGCCGAAAGGCGUAGUCGAUGGGAAACGGGUUAAUAUUCCCGUACUUGGUGUUACUGCGAAGGGGGGACGGAGAAGGCUAUGUUGGCCGGGCGACGGUUGUCCCGGUUUAAGCGUGUAGGUGUGUGUUCCAGGUAAAUCCGGUUCACUUUAACACUGAGGCGUGAUGACGAGGCACUACGGUGCUGAAGCAACAAAUGCCCUGCUUCCAGGAAAAGCCUCUAAGCAUCAGGUAACAUCAAAUCGUACCCCAAACCGACACAGGUGGUCAGGUAGAGAAUACCAAGGCGCUUGAGAGAACUCGGGUGAAGGAACUAGGCAAAAUGGUGCCGUAACUUCGGGAGAAGGCACGCUGACAUGUAGGUGAAGUGAUUUACUCAUGGAGCUGAAGUCAGUCGAAGAUACCAGCUGGCUGCAACUGUUUAUUAAAAACACAGCACUGUGCAAACACGAAAGUGGACGUAUACGGUGUGACGCCUGCCCGGUGCCGGAAGGUUAAUUGAUGGGGUCAGCGCAAGCGAAGCUCCUGAUCGAAGCCCCGGUAAACGGCGGCCGUAACUAUAACGGUCCUAAGGUAGCGAAAUUCCUUGUCGGGUAAGUUCCGACCUGCACGAAUGGCGUAAUGAUGGCCAGGCUGUCUCCACCCGAGACUCAGUGAAAUUGAACUCGCUGUGAAGAUGCAGUGUACCCGCGGCAAGACGGAAAGACCCCGUGAACCUUUACUAUAGCUUGACACUGAACAUUGAGCCUUGAUGUGUAGGAUAGGUGGGAGGCUUUGAAGCGUGGACGCCAGUCUGCGUGGAGCCGGCCUUGAAAUACCACCCUUUAAUGUUUGAUGUUCUAACGUGGACCCGU
Molecule: ribosomal RNA, 1743 nt
Filed under: Salmonella enterica subsp. enterica serovar Derby
Lineage: Bacteria; Pseudomonadati; Pseudomonadota; Gammaproteobacteria; Enterobacterales; Enterobacteriaceae
Description: partial 23S ribosomal RNA
Rfam family: Bacterial large subunit ribosomal RNA
Source: RNAcentral